This 575-nucleotide ribosomal RNA is filed under the name Salmonella enterica subsp. enterica serovar Panama. RNAcentral's name for it is "partial 23S ribosomal RNA". It matches the Rfam family "Bacterial large subunit ribosomal RNA", at positions 711 to 1262 of the family's 2925-position model. Lineage: Bacteria; Pseudomonadati; Pseudomonadota; Gammaproteobacteria; Enterobacterales; Enterobacteriaceae. The record is from RNAcentral. RNAcentral also lists the same sequence under 1 other name.
AGACCCGAAACCCGGUGAUCUAGCCAUGGGCAGGUUGAAGGUUGGGUAACACUAACUGGAGGACCGAACCGACUAAUGUUGAAAAAUUAGCGGAUGACCUGUGGCUGGGGGUGAAAGGCCAAUCAAACCGGGAGAUAGCUGGUUCUCCCCGAAAGCUAUUUAGGUAGCGCCUCGUGAAUUCAUCUCCGGGGGUAGAGCACUGUUUCGGCUAGGGGGCCAUCCCGGCUUACCAACCCGAUGCAAACUGCGAAUACCGGAGAAUGUUAUCACGGGAGACACACGGCGGGUGCUAACGUCCGUCGUGAAGAGGGAAACAACCCAGACCGCCAGCUAAGGUCCCAAAGUCAUGGUUAAGUGGGAAACGAUGUGGGAAGGCCCAGACAGCCAGGAUGUUGGCUUAGAAGCAGCCAUCAUUUAAAGAAAGCGUAAUAGCUCACUGGUCGAGUCGGCCUGCGCGGAAGAUGUAACGGGGCUAAACCAUGCACCGAAGCUGCGGCAGCGAACGUAUCACUUAAAGCGAUUCAGCGGGUUACGAUUGACGGAGCGAAGCGACGUCAAAGCGUAUACAAAGUCGA